AUACGCCACUCUGCCCGUUGAACACUCGAGAUAGCUUUUAUCGGUCGAGUGUGUACGAUCCAACAGUUGUAAGGACAAUCGGUUAGAGGAAAUCUUUCGGCAGUCUCGGUGCAGCCUCUUGUUGAUUCGAUAAACUCAAGCAUGGCGUGUAACAGUUUUAGUCAAUCUAAUAAAAAUAUCAAAUCUUGUGAAAUAUUAAGCGAUGCACUAAGUGAAAUCAUCAAGCACAGUACAAAUGAAAAAUUUCGAAAUCAUUGUUUCGAAAUGCUGAAGACUGAUAAUUCAUUUGAUACACGAGCGGUUAUUGUUGACAAUUUAUUAUCGAUUAUACCUCAUGAUAAUUGUUCCACUCAAAAGAAACGUAAAAAAUAAAACUAUGAAAAAUGCAUUUGCCAUA
Non-coding RNA from Linepithema humile (Argentine ant), 397 nucleotides. The record is from RefSeq and is a predicted model, not a curated record. Lineage: Eukaryota; Metazoa; Arthropoda; Insecta; Hymenoptera; Formicidae.